Molecule: long non-coding RNA, 4124 nt
Filed under: Sus scrofa (pig)
Lineage: Eukaryota; Metazoa; Chordata; Mammalia; Artiodactyla; Suidae
Description: lncRNA (ENSSSCG00015071787.1)
Source: RNAcentral
UGCUCUAUUCUAGCUUACUCCUGUUUGUAGCUUCAAAAUUAUCAAGGGUGUCUGACGUAUACAUUAGUAACUUUUUUUCUUAGUGACAUUAGAAGAGAGGCACCAAGAGGGCAGAACUCUGUUCUGUGGCUGUACUGCCAGCACCUUAUUGUGCCCAGCAUAUGAGGGAGCUGCUCACAAGUCAUUUUUAAGCUAAGCUUGGAUACUGUGAGAGCAAGACUAUAAAUAUAAAGCACAUUUCAAUUCUUUCUCAAGGAAAUCUUCCUUUCCCCUCAUGUUCAGAAGCUGUUUGCAGCCCUGAGGCUGCUGUGCAGAGCUUGGCUUCUGCCUUCCGGAGGCUGCAAUACCCUCCAGGGUCUGUUUGCUGCAGAGGUUUCGGUCCCACCUUCCCUGAAUUUCAGGUUACGUCUCGCUGUUCAAGUCCCAGAGCGCACUGGUGAGGCUCUGAACCAAGAGGAUAAUCUGCAGGUCGGAGCCACUCUCAGCCCCUCCGCCUCCGCCUACCACUCUGUUUUCUCUUCGUUUCUGGCAGCUGGGGUUUCCUUCUCUUUUGCAGUCAGCUGUGUGUAUUUGUUAUGUUUUAUGUCAUAUUCUGAAUGUGGAGCUAUGGGCUGGUGGUGGUAGCAAGAUUUAUGUUAGUUCAGUCUUCCCCGCCACCAAGAUUCCUAGGGUGAAAUUGUGUGAGGGUAAAAAAAGAGACCAUUUUGGAGUUUUCGCUUUGGCAAAGGGGCUUAAGGAUUUGGCAUUGUCACUGCAGCGGCCCAGGUCACUGCUGUGGCACGGGAACUUUCACAUGCCAUAGGCAUGGCCAAAAAUAAACAUCUUAAGACACUGUUUUUCAGUUUUCUAUUACACUGUAGUAAAAUUCACUUAGUGUUACACUUAGAAAAGCAGAACAAAUGAAGAAAAUCCCAACUCAGGCGUUCCCAUCGUGGCUCAGCGGUUAACAAACCUGUAUCCAUGAGGAUGCAAGUUUGAUCCCUGGCCUUGCUCAGUGGGUUAAGAAUUAAGUGUUGCCAUGAGCUGUGGUGUAGGUCACAGAAGUGGCCUGGAUCUGGCGUCGCUAUGGCUGUGGUGUAGGCCGGCAGCUAUGGCUCCGAUUAGACCCCUAGCCUGGGAACCUCCAUAUGCCAUGGGUGCAGCUCUAAAAAGGCAAAAAUAAAUACAUAAAUAAAUAAGAAAACACAAACUGAGAGUUGGAAGAAAAUGUUUAUUUAGUUAAAAGGUAUGAAGGUACUGGCUUUCUAAGCCAGUAAGAGUAGGGAGAGGAGAAAUUACAAAUGAGGGAUUCUGCGGGAUUCCUUUAAAACAUGUUUAGUGAGGAAGUGAUUUGGACAAAACCUUUCCAGGCAACAAAGGUUCAUAUACCAACACCACCUCACUGAACGGCAUCUAACAACCAGCUAAUUUUAUCAGUAUCAGCAGGGCUAAGAAUAACUUUCUCUACACCUUUGCUAAGGAAAACACCGUCAAUGAGGACCUAGUUGGCUUUAAUGCUUUCAGGGUCUCAGGUUCCCAAAAAUUAACUGUAGGAUGAAGUAGAGACUUGCUUUUUUUUUUUUUUUUUGGCUCCAUCUGUGGCAUGCAGAAGUUCCCAGGCCCAAGGAUUGAGCCUGAACCUGCACCACCGCAAUGACAAUGCCAGAUCCUUAACUGGCUAUGCCACACGGGAACUCCCUAGACCUGCAUUUCUGUGCUGAGAAAUAACUGAGUAUCUUCUAUCAAGCAGGCACAGUGUUGGGACUACACGAAUAUUAUCUCCUAUUGAUCAUUCUAAGAACUCUAGAAAAGACUUGUGCUCUGGUCUAUCCGGAGCACCACCAGAGGACUAACUCUAGUCCCCUUCACAGCCUCCAGUCUACUUUUCUUACUGUUAUACCAAGCACCAUGAAAUAGGACCACACUGUAGAGCGAGAGAGAAAAAAGUCCUGCAGCUAGAAAAUGGCAGAUGCUGUGGCAGGAACCCAGCACCUUGACUCCAAGAUCAACCUCUUUAUACUGUCAUUAUGCUGCCUGCAUGCAACUCUGACUUUUAUUCAUGUUUAGUGGAUAGUUCUCCACCUGCCAGUUACUUUCUUACUGUAACUUUUUUAAUAAGGAAAACCAUGUGAAGAAGCAAAGUAAAAAAACUAUCUAAUCCUUGGGAGUACAGUGGCAAUUAAGUAGCUGUUUAAAAAAAAAAAAAAAAGUGGUUUGAGAACAUGACGAGAAUUUCCGAGAACACUUCUACUGGUCACCUUUGCUCCAGCAUUAUCGUCCACUGAGAGAGGGAGGGGACCCUAUUUAAAAACAAGAAUACAAUUUUAUUCUUUCAGCAAAAUUUAUAAAGUCAGACAUCGAAUUUAUGAAGACAAAUAAACCUGUUUCUGUCCUCAAAGGGCUCAUAAUCCAAGAGGAGAACUAUACAUGCAGAUAAACUGCUGACAAUUUCAGGACUGGUGACAAUUUCAGGACUAGUGGCAGUGCCUAACUAGAAAGUUAGAAGACACACUUAAGGCACAAAGAGAGGACCGAGGAGAUCCAAGAUCCAGGUAAUACUAAGACAUCGGAACUUGAGUUUUGAAGAGUGGAUUAGUUCCCAAGGGCUUAGUUUGUGUCAGGCAGCGUGCUAAAUGAUUAUCUGGAUUAUCUAAUUAAAUUAUCAUUACAAGUUAGGAAAUAGCUAACUCCAUUUUACAGAUGAAUCCAGGUGGUUUAACAUAGAACUCAAAAUGCUAAAUAUUGCAGGGAGUUCCCAUCGUGGCGCAGUGGUUAAAUGAAUCUGAUUAGGAACCAUGACGAUGUGGGUUCGAUCCCUGGCCUCGCUCAGUGGGUUAAGGAUCCGGCGUUGCCGUGAGCUGUGGUGUGGGUGACAGAUGUGGCUCGGAUCUGGCUCGGAUCCUGCAUUGAUGUAGCUGUGGUGUAGGCCAGCAGCCACAGCUGCGAUUUGACCUCUAGCCUGGGAACCUCUAUAUGCCAAGGGUGCGGCCAUAAAAAGACAAAAAGAGGAGUUCCCGUCGUGGCGCAGUGGUUAACGAAUCCGACUAGGAACCAUGAGGCUGCGGGUUCGAUCCCUGCCCUUGCUCAGUGGGUUAACGAUCCGGCGUUGCCGUGAGCUGUGGUGUAGGAUCCCGAGUUGCUGUGGCUCUGGCAUAGGCUGGCAUUACAGCUCCGAUUAGACCCCUAGCCUGGGAAACUCCAUAUGUCACGGGAGCGGCCCAAGAAAUGGCAAAAAGACAAAAAAAAAAAGGCAAAAAGACAAAAAAAAAAAAAAAAAGCUAAAUAUUGUAAGCUACUGAUAUACACAAACACACAAUAAAACAGAUCACUGGAUGAAGUCAGAGGUAAAGGAACUUACCACAGUAUAAUGUUCUCAUUUACAAACAAGGCAAAUGAAAUCAGUCUGCUUCAGGAAUCAGCCAAAGGUCACACAACAGAAAUCGUCUUUUAUUCUCUCCCCAGCCUGUCCCUUGUAUGACUGCUUUUUCCUGGAAAUGCUAUUCUCUUCCUGCUUUUCCCUUUAUCUCCUUCAAACAUUCUGUCACUGAAAGUCACCCAGAUGACAUGUCAAGGGCAAAGUCAUUAAACGAGUGCAGCACAAGGACACACGGUUUGGCAGGUGAGCCUAUAUUUAAACAAGGUAUUUACUGUAAAUAUCAGUGUUUUAUAAGCAAUGAUCUGAAAAGACUGAGAAACAAGUAAAACAGGUCUGUCAACAUCUAUGAACAUGCUUCUCACAUACUCAACUCACUACACACAGAAGUAAUGCCGACAAGGCCGGCAUUCCAAUCCCAGGACGUCCACACAGCUUCAGGGAAGACUUUGCUCUGGUCUACCCAGAGCCAUUGCCAACCCUUACGGUUACACACCCUGUACGGUACGCCUACCUUCAGUUUCCUAAGCACCUGGCUUAGUCUUCCCAAUGUCAGCCCUGCGAGAUUUUUUUAUCUGCCCUAUCUGAGCUGCUUGCGAUCUAUUCAAUCUUUUUUUUUUUUUUUUCAAAUAUAUAAACAAACAGUAUCCUGUUUAGUUUGAAAUGAAAACUUCAAAUACUUUUGUGGAAAUAAAAAGUUUAAAUUUCCUUAGGUUCAUAAUCAUUCUUAUUACAUGUGCAGUUUUUAAAACAUAUUUAAAGUUUCCAUGUA